UACAGGGGGUGCAAACGUUGCUCGGAAUUAUUGGGCGUAAAGCGCGCGUAGGCGGCUACUUAAGUCGGAUGUGAAAGCCCCUGGCUCAACUGGGGAAGUGCACCCGAAACUGAGUGGCUUGAGUGCGAAAGAGGGUCGCGGAAUUCCCGGUGUAGAGGUGAAAUUCGUAGAUAUCAGGAGGAACACCUGUGGUGUAGACGGCUUACUGGACCGCAACUGACGCUGAGACACGAAAGCGUGGGUAGCAAACAGG
This 253-nucleotide ribosomal RNA is filed under the name uncultured bacterium. Its description in RNAcentral is "partial 16S ribosomal RNA". It matches the Rfam family "Bacterial small subunit ribosomal RNA", at positions 524 to 776 of the family's 1533-position model. The record is from RNAcentral.